CCUACGGGAGGCUGCAGUGGGGAAUAUUGGACAAUGGGGGCAACCCUGAUCCAGCCAUGCCGCGUGUGUGAAGAAGGCCCUCGGGUUGUAAAGCACUUUCAGUGAGGAAGAACGCCUGGUGGUUAUUACCCAUCAGGAAAGACAUCACUCACAGAAGAAGCACCGGCUAACUCCGUGCCAGCAGCCGCGGUAAUACGGAGGGUGCGAGCGUUAAUCGGAAUUACUGGGCGUAAAGCGCGCGUAGGUGGCUUGAUAAGCCGGUUGUGAAAGCCCCGGGCUCAACCUGGGAACGGCAUCCGGAACUGUCAAGCUAGAGUGCAGGAGAGGAAGGUAGAAUUCCCGGUGUAGCGGUGAAAUGCGUAGAGAUCGGGAGGAAUACCAGUGGCGAAGGCGGCCUUCUGGACUGACACUGACACUGAGGUGCGAAAGCGUGGGUAGCAAACAGGAUUAGAUACCCUAGUAGUC
This 465-nucleotide ribosomal RNA is filed under the name Vreelandella stevensii. RNAcentral's name for it is "partial 16S ribosomal RNA". It matches the Rfam family "Bacterial small subunit ribosomal RNA", at positions 338 to 795 of the family's 1533-position model. The record is from RNAcentral. Lineage: Bacteria; Pseudomonadati; Pseudomonadota; Gammaproteobacteria; Oceanospirillales; Halomonadaceae.